UACAGAGGAUGCAAGCGUUAUCCGGAAUGAUUGGGCGUAAAGCGUCUGUAGGUGGCUUUUUAAGUCCGCCGUCAAAUCCCAGGGCUCAACUCUGGACAGGCGGUGGAAACUACCAAGCUGGAGUACGGUAGGGGCAGAGGGAAUUUCCGGUGGAGCGGUGAAAUGCGUAGAGAUCGGGAGGAACACCAGUGGCGAAGGCGGCUACCUGGACCAGCAUUGACACUCAAGCACGAAAGCGUGGGGAGCAAACAGG
RNAcentral lists this ribosomal RNA (253 nucleotides) under uncultured bacterium. RNAcentral describes it as "partial 16S ribosomal RNA". It matches the Rfam family "Bacterial small subunit ribosomal RNA", at positions 524 to 776 of the family's 1533-position model. The record is from RNAcentral.